RNAcentral lists this ribosomal RNA (433 nucleotides) under uncultured bacterium. Its description in RNAcentral is "partial 16S ribosomal RNA". It matches the Rfam family "Bacterial small subunit ribosomal RNA", at positions 29 to 507 of the family's 1533-position model. The record is from RNAcentral.
AACGAACGCUGGCGGCAGGCCUAACACAUGCAAGUCGAGCGGACCUUUCGGGGUCAGCGGCGGUCGUGUGAGUAACGCGUGGGAAUAUGCCCUUCUCUACGGAAUCGUCCUGUGAAACUUGGGGUAAUACCGUAUACGCCCUUUGGGGGUAAGAUUUCUCGGUGAAGGAUUAGCCCGCGUUGGUUUAGGUAGUUGGUGGGGUACUGGCCUACCAAGCCGACGAUGCAUAGCUGGUUUGAGAGGAGGAUCAACCACACUGGGACUGAGACACGGCCCAGACUCGGAGGGGAGGGAGGAGAGGGGAAUAUUAGACAAGGGGGGCAAAUGUGGUCAAGCCAUGUCGGGGGAGAGAUGAAGGCGUUAGGGUUGUAAAGCUGUUUCAGCUGGGAAGAGAAUGACGGUAACAGCAGAAGAAGCCCCGGCUAACUCCGUG